UACGGAGGGUGCAAGCGUUAUCCGGAAUCACUGGGUUUAAAGGGUGCGUAGGCGGUUUGAUAAGUCAGAGGUGAAAGCUAGCAGCUUAACUGUUAAAUUGCCUUUGAUACUGUCAGACUUGAAUCAAGUUGAGGUAGGCGGAAUGUGACAUGUAGCGGUGAAAUGCAUAGAUAUGUCAUAGAACACCAAUUGCGUAGGCAGCUUGCUGGGCUUGAAUUGACGCUGAGGCACGAAAGCGUGGGGAUCAAACAGG
RNAcentral lists this non-coding RNA (253 nucleotides) under bacterium. RNAcentral's name for it is "partial 16S ribosomal RNA". It matches the Rfam family "Bacterial small subunit ribosomal RNA", at positions 524 to 776 of the family's 1533-position model. RNAcentral also lists the same sequence under 3 other names. The record is from RNAcentral.